ACGGACACAUCACGUUGAAACAUCGAUUCCCGUACGAUCACCAAAGUUAAGCAACGUCGAGUUUGAUUAGUAUCUAGAUUGGUGACAGUUUGAGAAUACCAGGUGGUGCAAG
Acanthosepion pharaonis is the source of this 112-nucleotide non-coding RNA. Lineage: Eukaryota; Metazoa; Mollusca; Cephalopoda; Sepiida; Sepiidae. The record is from the annotation of a GenBank genome assembly.